Molecule: ribosomal RNA, 497 nt
Filed under: uncultured bacterium
Lineage: Bacteria
Description: partial 16S ribosomal RNA
Rfam family: Bacterial small subunit ribosomal RNA
Source: RNAcentral
GGUGAACGCUGGCGGCGUGCCUAAUACAUGCAAGUCGAGCGAACGGACGAGAAGCUUGCUUCUCUGAUGUUAGCGGCGGACGGGCGAGUAACACGUGGAUAACCUACCUAUAAGACUGGGAUAACUUCGGGAAACCGGAGCUAAUACCGGAUAAUAUUUUGAACCGCAUGGUUCAAAAGUGAAAGACGGUCUUGCUGUCACUUAUAGAUGGAUCCGCGCUGCAUUAGCUAGUUGGUAAGGUAACGGCUUACCAAGGCAACGAUGCAUAGCCGACCUGAGAGGGUGAUCGGCCACACUGGAACUGAGACACGGUCCAGACUCCUACGGGAGGCAGCAGUAGGGAAUCUUCCGCAAUGGGCGAAAGCCUGACGGAGCAACGCCGCGUGAGUGAUGAAGGUCUUCGGAUCGUAAAACUCUGUUAUUAGGGAAGAACAUAUGUGUAAGUAACUGUGCACAUCUUGACGGUACCUAAUCAGAAAGCCACGGCUAACUACGUG